UACGGGGGGUGCAAGCGUUGUUCGGAAUCAUUGGGCGUAAAGCGCGUGUAGGCGGCUUGACAAGUCAGAUGUGAAAUCCCUGGGCUUAACCCAGGAAGUGCAUUUGAAACUGUCUGGCUCGAGUAAGGGAGAGGAAAGUGGAAUUCCUGGUGUAGAGGUGGAAUUCGUAGAUAUCAGGAGGAACACCGGUGGCGAAGGCGACUUUCUGGCCCUAUACUGACGCUGAGACGCGAAAGCGUGGGUAGCAAACAGGAUUAGAUACCCUGGUAGUCCACGCUGUAAACGAUGUUCACUAGGUGUUGGGGGUAUCGACCCUUUCAGUGCCGCAGCUAACGCAUUAAGUGAACCGCCUGGGGAGUACGGUCGCAAGAUUAAA
This 376-nucleotide ribosomal RNA is filed under the name uncultured bacterium. RNAcentral describes it as "bacterial SSU rRNA". It matches the Rfam family "Bacterial small subunit ribosomal RNA", at positions 524 to 898 of the family's 1533-position model. The record is from RNAcentral.